AGUUUCAGUUUUGCGAGAUGAAGAGAGUUCUGGCGAUGGUCAGUGGUGAUCGUUGUGCAGCAGUGCAAAUGUACUUAAUACCACCCAACUGCACACUGAAAAAUGGUUCCAGUGGAAAAUUUUACAUUAUGUCUUUUUUCACCACAAUUAAAAAAAAAAAAAAAGGAGUUCCCAUUGUGGUUCAGCCGAAAUGAAUCUGACUAGUAUCCAUGAGGAUGUGAGUUUGAUCCCUGGCCUCACUCAAUGGACUAAGGAUCUGGCAUUGCCACAAGCUGCAGCAUAGGCUGCAAAUGUGUCUCAAAUCCCAUGUUUCUGCGGCUGUGGCAUACGUCAGCAGCUGCAGCUCUGAUUCGACCCCUAGCCUGGGAACUUCCAUAUGUGGCAGGUGCAGCCCUAAAAAAAAAUUAAAAAACCAAAACCAAAAACCAUUGUUGUGUUAUUUAAUUACAUCUGGGAGACAAGCCCUGAUGACAACCCAUCUAUGAGAGAAGAAAAAGAGGCUCCAAGAUGCUAAGGCACUUGCUCAGCAUCACAUAGCUGGGAAGAGCAGAGUUGGGGCAUUUAAACCUAAAUUCUCUCCAAGAAAAUAUACAUCUUGCUCCUAGAUUUGCUGCCACAGGGAGGCCUGGUAACUAUUUUACCAUUGCUGGGGCAGCAACUUGUCAGUCAGUGAAUGCCUCGGGGAGGCAAUUGGAUUUUGUGGUCUGAGAUCAAACUGGGGAGAGGAAGAGCUGGGGCUCCAGGGUCCUUGACUGGGGACAGCUGAAAUCAGAGCAGCACGUCUGUAGCGAGCUAGUUCUUUUGAAAACAUCCCAGGUGGGCCUUGACUGCACAGCUGGGAUAAUUGGCCAGCCUGGGAACACCAAGAAAGAUAUUUACAGGUCCAGAUGCUGCAGUCGAAUAUUUUCCUGCACCAGCUGGGCCAAAUACCCUCAGCUCUUAAAAAUCCCCAACACACUGGGACUUAUUUUUGUUUAACUUGCAGGUGGGCAGAGGUGGUGAGUGGCAGUGUCAUGGUGGCUCCAGGAAAGGGGAUCAGGGCUGACUGGGGGUGUCCCCUUUCCCUCAUUUGUCUUCCAGGGUGUGCUCUUACUUUCCCUUGCUGGGAAGGUGACAAUUUAAUUCAGAAAAGGAGGCUCACUCGGCUUAAUGAGAAGUGACCAGGGAGCAUGCUGGAUUAGCCAAAGGAGGUUGUAAAGUGCUGUGUAAAUAUCAACUGCUGGACCACUGGGGGCAGGAAGGGCGUUUGAGCCCGUCUAGAAGCAGCAGCAGCUCCCGGAGGUGAGGGUGAGAAAGCAGCUUUGCAGCCCUCUGAAAUUUGGGACCUUCCAGCGGCUGUCUGAGAUGGACAAGUUGGUUCUGAAAAGAGUUUCCAGGACUUUCUGAGCCUGGCAGGAGCUUCUCUUGCUGGUUAUAAUUCUGACCUGUGGGUUCUAACCCCACCCCAAUACCAGUUGGAUGUCCUGGAGUUCAGCUUAAUUCUGACAUUAUCUGCUUGAGAAUCACAUCAGAUCCCACAGGUGAAGGAUUCAGUCUCAUAAGAUUGCCCCACCCCCACUGCAGACGCCGAUUAAGUCCAGGUUGUCACCUAUUUGGGACCUACUGGCUAUAGGAGGGAGGAGCUGACAGCCCACUCCUCAACUGACUUGCUAGAGCAAAAAACUCAGAAAAACAUUUCACUUACUAGAGCACCAGUUUAUUUUAAACUGAUGUAACUCAGGUACAUUCAGAUGGAAGAGAUGCCCAAGGCAAGGAGUGUGGGAAGGAGUGCAGAGCUUCCACAUACUCUCUGAGCAUCGCUCUCCAGGCACCGCUGCGUGUUCACUAGCCCAGAAGCCGUCAAGACCUGUCCUUUGGAUUUUUAUGGAGGCUUCAUUACUGGGGCACGAUUGAUGAAAUCCUUGGCCAGUGGUGAACAAACACAAUCCGCAGCCCCUCUUCCCUCCCUGGAGGUUGAGGUGGGGUAAACUGAAAGUUCCAGCCCUCUAAUCACCUGGUUGGUUCCCCUGACCACCAGCCACCUUAGGUUAAGUAGGAGUUCUCCAAAAGUCACCUCAUCGACCAAAUGAGACACCUUUCUCAUUCUCAUCUCUUAGGAAAUUCCAUGGGUUUUAGGAUCUCUGUGCCAGGAAUGGGGAAAGACCAAAUACAUAUUUCUUAUUAUAAAUCACAGUAUCACACUGGUGUACAGGGGUGGGAGCCCUGAUCAAGGAAGAAAAAAAGAAUGUUUGAUUUAUGGAAACCUUGUGAGAGUUUCCUGACCCAGCAGAGUCCAGGCUCCUGCUGAGGGUUUCAACACACAGGAGGCUGAGAGCUUUGGAGCAUGUCCACCUUUGGACCCUGCUUCUGUCCCUAGAUAGCUAAUUGAACUUGGGUUUGCCGCUUGACCUCUCUGGGCCUCAUGGUCCUCAUGUGUGAAAGGGGUUAAUAGUACCAAUCUAAUGCAUUUCUUGGGGGAACUAGAGAGGAUUAGGCCCAUCCCUGGCAUGCAAUCAACACCCAGUAUCUGGGGUUUGUAACGUCAUUAAUGUCAUCUCUGAGGUCCUUAUCCUAAUGUUUAUGAGGAAUAACCAACCACCGAUGGAUCUAGAAAGAAGCACAGAAGGUGGGUUGUUUUCAGUAUUGGCCAUUUCUCUUUUGUGCCACAGCAGGGGCCGACAACGUUCUCUGUAAAGGGCCAUGUAGUAAAUAUUUUGGGCUUUACAGGCCAGGUGGUCUCUAUGGCAACUACUCAGCUCAGAAGCAUCCAUGAGCAUUACAUAAGCAAAGGGGCCUGGCUUUGUGCCAAUAAAACUUUCUUUACAAAAAUAGGCAGCAGGGGAGUUCUGACUCCCCAAAUCGGACUAGUGCCCAUGAAGUUGUGGGUUUGAUCCCUGGCCUCACUCAGCAGGUUAAGGAUCCGGCGUUGCAGUGAGCUGCAGUGUAGGUCGAAGAUGCAGCUCAGAUCCUAUGUUACUGUGGCUGUGGUAUGGGCCGGCAACUGUAGCUCUGAUUCAGUCCCUAGCCUGGGAACCUCCAUGUGCUGCAGGUGUGGCCCU
Molecule: long non-coding RNA, 3038 nt
Filed under: Sus scrofa (pig)
Lineage: Eukaryota; Metazoa; Chordata; Mammalia; Artiodactyla; Suidae
Description: lncRNA (ENSSSCG00000060607.1)
Source: RNAcentral